RNAcentral lists this ribosomal RNA (563 nucleotides) under uncultured fungus. RNAcentral describes it as "eukaryotic LSU rRNA". The stretch from base 199 to 352 matches the Rfam family "5.8S ribosomal RNA". The record is from RNAcentral. Lineage: Eukaryota; Fungi.
CCUGCGGAAGGAUCAUUAAAGAGUAAGGGUGCUCAGCGCCCGACCUCCAACCCUUUGUUGUUAAAACUACCUUGUUGCUUUGGCGGGACCACUCGGUCUCGAGCCGCUGGGGAUUCGUCCCAGGCGAGCGCCCGCCAGAGUUAAACCAAACUCUUGUUAUUAAACCGGUCGUCUGAGUUAAAAUUUUGAAUAAAUCAAAACUUUCAACAACGGAUCUCUUGGUUCUCGCAUCGAUGAAGAACGCAGCGAAAUGCGAUAAGUAAUGUGAAUUGCAGAAUUCAGUGAAUCAUCGAAUCUUUGAACGCACAUUGCGCCCCUUGGUAUUCCGAGGGGCAUGCCUGUUCGAGCGUCAUUACACCACUCAAGCUAUGCUUGGUAUUGGGUGCCGUCCUUAGUUGGGCGCGCCUUAAAGACCUCGGCGAGGCCUCACCGGCUUUAGGCGUAGUAGAAUUUAUUCGAACGUCUGUCAAAGGAGAGGACUUCUGCCGACUGAAACCUUUUAUUUUUCUAGGUUGACCUCGGAUCAGGUAGGGAUACCCGCUGAACUUAAGCAUAUCAAUAAG